CGCAACCCUAGGUCAGGCGGGAUCACCCGUUGAGUUUAAGCAUAUCAAUAAGUGGAGGAAAAAAAACUUACCAGGAUUCCCCUAGUAACGGUGAGCGAACCGGGAAGAGCCCAGCUUGAUAAUCGGGCACCCCCGACAUUCGAAUUGUAGUAUGGAGAAGCGUCCUCAGCGGUGGAUCGGGCCCAAGUCCCCUAGAAAGGGGAGUCAAAGAGGGUGAGAGCCCCGUUGUGCUCAGAUCCUAUCGCACCAUGAAGCGUUGUCCGCGAGUCGGGUUGUUUGGGAAUACAGCCCCAAUCGGGUGGUAAAUUUCAUCCAAGGCUGAAUACAGGUGAGAGACCGAUAGCGAACAAGUACUGUGAGGGAAAGAUGAAAAGGACUUUGAAAAGAGAGUCAAAAAGUGCUUGAAAUUGUCGGGGAGAGAAGAGGAUGGGGGCCGGUGAUGUGCCCUGGUCGGAUGUGGAACGGCGAGAGCCAGUCUGCCGAUCGGUCUGGGGCAUGGAUCAACGUGGGUCACGACGGUGGCCCAAGCCUGGGCUUUCGAUGUGCUCGCGGAGAUGUCAUCACCGUGAUCAUGGAAUGCAACACGUGCCAUCUCGGCAUGCCCCGACACCGGCAUUCUCCAGGCGUUGGCCUGCGGGCUCCCCAUCCAGCCCGUCUUGAAACACAGACCAAGGAGUCUGACAUGCGUACGAGUCAAUGGGCUAGGAAACCCAUAAGGCGCAAGGAAGCUGAUUGACGGGAUCCCUCGCGGGUGGACCGCUGACCGACCUUGAUCUUUUAAGAAGGGUUUGAGUGUGAGCAUGCCCGUCGGGACCCGAAAGAUGGUGAACUAUGCCUGAGCAGGGCAAAGCCAGAGAAAACUCUAGUGGAGGCCCAUAACGAUACUAACGUGCAAAUCGUUCAUUUGACUUGGGUAUAGGGGCGAAAGACUAAUCGAACUGUCUAGUAACUGGUUCCCUCCGAAGUUUCCCUCAGGAUAGCUAGAGCCCCCGUCGAGUUCUAUCAGGUAAAGCCAAUGAUUAGAGGCAACGGGGGUGUAACACCCUCGACCUAUUCUCAAACUUUAAAUAGGUAGGACGGCGUGGCUGUUUCGUUGAGCCGCACCAUGGAAUCAAGAGCUCCAAGUGGGCCAUUUUUGGUAAGCAAAACUGACGAUGCGGGAUGAACCGAAAGUUGGGUUACGGUGCCCAACUGUGCGCUAACCCAGAACCCAUAAAGGGUGUUGGUUGAUUAAGACAGCAGAACAAUGGUCAUGCAAGUUAAAAUCCGCUAAGGAUCGUGUAACAACUCACCUCCAAAUCAACUAGCCCCGAAAAUGGAUGGCACUUAAGAACGUGACCUAUACGCGACCGUCGGGGCAAGGGCCAGGCCUCGAUGAGUAGAAGGGCACGACGAUCACUGCAAAACUCGAGGUGCGAGCCUCGAUAGAGCGACCAUCGGUGCAGAUCUUGGUGGUAGUAGCAAAUAUUCAAAUGAGAACUUUGAAGGCCGAAUAGGGGAAAGGUUCCAUAUGAACGGCACUUGCACAUGGGUUAGUCAAUCCUAAGAGACGGGGAAAGCCCGUCCGACAGCGUGUCCCAUGUGAGUUUCGAAAGGGAAUCGGGUUAAAAUUCUUGAACCGAGAUGCGAUGGCUGAUGACAACGUUAGGGAGUCCGGAGACGUCGACGGGGGCCUCAGGAAGAUUAUCUUUUCUGUUUAACAACCCACCCACCCUAGAAACGGCUCAGCUGGAGGUAGGGUCUAGUGGCUGGAAGAGCAUUGCAUGUCGCGUGGUGUCCGAUGCACCCCUGACGGCCCUUGAAAAUUCAGAUGGCCGAGUGCUGUCCGCGCUCGAUCGUACUUAUAAUCACAUCAGGUCUCCAAGGUGAGCAGCCUCGGGUCGAUGGAACAAUGUAGGCAAAGGAAGUCGGCAAAAUGGAUCCGUAACCUCGGGAAAAAGAUUGGCUCUGAGGGCUGGGUAUAGGGGUCCCAGUCUCAAACCGUUGGCUACCGAUGCACUUCUCGAGCUACUCCCACAGCGAGAGCGAGUCGUCACGUGUCGAUCGAGGGACGGACUAGGAACGGCUCCCUCGAGGGCUUUCCUCGGGCAAUGAACAGUCGACUCAUAACUGGUACAAAAAAGGGGAAUCCGACUAUUUAAUUAAAACAAAGCAUUGCAAUGGUCCUUGCGGAUGCUCAUGCAAUGUGAUUUCUGCCCAGUGCUCUGAAUGUCAAAAUGAAGAAAUUCAACCAAGCGCGGGUAAACAGCGGGAGUAACUAUGACUCUUUUAAGGUAGCUAAAUGCCUCGUCAUCUAAUUAGUGACGUGCAUGAAUGGAUUAACGAGAUUCCCACUAUCCCUAUCUAUUAUCCAGCGAAACCACAGCCAAGGGAAUGGGCUUGGCGAAAUCAACAGGGAAAGAAGACCCUGUUGAGCUUGACUCUAGUCUGACUUUAUGAAAUGACUUGAGAGGUGUAGCAUAAGUGGGAGCCCCCAGGUGAAAUUGAAAUACCACUACUUUUAACAUUAUUUUAUUUAUUCUGUGAAUCGGACGUAGGGCACGACCCUUUCUUUUGGACCUAAAGCCAGCCUCGACCGAUCGAUUUAGGUGAAAGACAUUGUCAGGUGGAGAGUUUGACUGGGGUGGCACAUCUGUUAAAAGAUAACGUAGGUGUCAUAAGAUGAGCUCAACGAGAAUAGAAAUCUCAUGUGGAACAAAAGGGUAAAAGCUCGUUUGAUUUUGUUUUCCAGUACGAAUACGAAUUGUGAAAGCGUGGCCUAUCGAUCCUUUAGACCUUUGAGAUUUGAAGCUAGAAGAGUCAGAAAAGUUACCAUAGCGAUAACUGGCUUAUGGCAGCCAAGUGUUCAUAGUGACGUUGCUUUUUGAUCCUUCGAUGUCGGCUCUUCCUAUCAUUGUGAAGUAGAAUUCACCAAGUGUUGGAUUGUUCACCCACCAAUAGAGAACGUGAGCUGGGUUUAGACCAUAGUGAGACAGGUUAGUUUUACCUUACUAAUGGUGGCGUCGCGAUAGUAAUUCAACCUAGUACGAGAGGAACCAUUGAUUCACACAAUUGGUCAUCGCGCUUGGUUGAAAAGCUAGUGGCGUGAAGCUACGUGUGCUAGAUUAUGACUGAUGCCUCUAAGUCAGAAUCUGGGCUAGAAGCAACACGCGUGCCCAUCGCCCGAUUACCGACCCACAGUAGGGGCCCAUGGCCCUCAAGGGCACGUGUCAUGGGUACAGCCCCCAUGACGGACAAGCCACGCGGGCCUCCUUGGAGCUCAAUACCCACCGAGCGGUGGGUAGAAUCCUUUGCAGAUGACUUAAAUAUGUGACGGGGUAUUGUAAGUGGCAGAGUGGCCUUGCUGCCAUGAUCCAGUGAGAUUCAGCCCU
Molecule: ribosomal RNA, 3371 nt
Filed under: Durio zibethinus
Lineage: Eukaryota; Viridiplantae; Streptophyta; Magnoliopsida; Malvales; Malvaceae
Description: eukaryotic LSU rRNA
Rfam family: Eukaryotic large subunit ribosomal RNA
Source: RNAcentral